This 442-nucleotide ribosomal RNA is filed under the name uncultured bacterium. RNAcentral's name for it is "partial 16S ribosomal RNA". It matches the Rfam family "Bacterial small subunit ribosomal RNA", at positions 338 to 795 of the family's 1533-position model. The record is from RNAcentral.
CCUACGGGUGGCAGCAGUAGGGAAUCUUUCACAAUGGGCGAAAGCCUGAUGGAGCAACGCCGCGUGCAGGAUGAAGGCCUUCGGGUUGUAAACUGCUUUUAUAAGCGAGAAAUAUGAUGGUAACUUAUGAAUAAGGAUCGGCUAACUACGUGCCAGCAGCCGCGGUCAUACGUAGGAUCCGAGCAUUAUCCGGAGUGACUUGGUGUAAAGAGUUGCGUAGGUGGCAUAAUAAGUAGCUAGUGAAAUCUGGUGGCUCAACCAUUCAGACUAUUAGCUAAACUGUUAAGCUCGAGACCGUUAGGGGUAACUGGAAUGUCUAGUGUAGGAGUGAAAUCCGUAGAUAUUAGAAGGAACACCAAUAGCGUAGGCAGGUUGCUGGGACGGUUCUGACACUAAGGCACGAAAGCGUAGGGAGCAAACGGGAUUAGAUACCCCAGUAGUC